GGGAUUGCAGUGGAAAGCCCGGAGCGAGGCAACGAGUGAGGACUUGCAACGGAAAGCCUGACCCGAG
This 67-nucleotide small RNA is filed under the name Epilithonimonas xixisoli. Its description in RNAcentral is "Chryseobacterium xixisoli Flavo-1 RNA". The record is from RNAcentral. Lineage: Bacteria; Pseudomonadati; Bacteroidota; Flavobacteriia; Flavobacteriales; Weeksellaceae.